Arachis ipaensis is the source of this 1350-nucleotide RNA transcript. It is a transcript of the gene named myrcene synthase, chloroplastic-like, with no coding region annotated. The record is from RefSeq and is a predicted model, not a curated record. NCBI's taxonomy places the organism in Eukaryota, Viridiplantae, Streptophyta, Magnoliopsida, Fabales, Fabaceae.
CUUUGAUUUCUUUCUCAAAGAAACAAACAAUUUCAACGAGCAUCAACCUUCAAUUGGCGUUGAGGGAAUUUUGUCACUAUAUGAAUCCUCAUUUUAUUUAGUAGAAGAAGAAACUAUAUUAGAUGAUGCAAAAAAAUAUAGUUCAAAGAUUCUCAAAGAAUAUGUAAAAAGAAAUUAUGAUAGCUACAUAUCCCUCUUAAUCAAUCAUUCAUUGGAGUAUCCAUUACAUUGGAGGGUGCCAAGAUGGGAGGCUUUUUGGUUCAUCAACACAUAUGAAAAAAGUCGCAAUUUGAAUCCUACACUUCUUCAGUUUGCUAAAUUGGAUUUCAACAUCAUUCAAAGCAUUUACCAAGAAGAGUUGAAGGAUAUGUCAAGGUGGUGGAAGAGAACCUACUUAGCAGAGAAGUUAAGUUUUGCAAGAGAUAGGUUGAUGGAAAACUUCUUUUGGACCGUGGGAGUGAAUUUUAAUCCAGAAUUUGGUUCCUUUAGAAGAGCUAUAACAAAGGUCAAUUGCUUCAUAAAUACGAUAGAUGAUAUGUAUGAGACCUUUGGCACUUUAGAAGAUUUAGAGCUAUUUACUAAAGCUGUUGAAAGAUGGGAUCUAAGUUUUGGUAUGGACAACCUUCCAUACUACAUGAAAAUAUGCUUCCUUGCACUCUAACUUUGUUAACGAAGUAGCUUUCGAAUGCCUACAAAAUAAUGAAGUUUAUAUUGUUCCUUACCUUAGAAAAUCGUGGGCAGAUUUAUGUAAGGCAUAUUUUGCUGAGGCAAAGUGGUACUAUAGUGGUUAUAUACCAACUCUUGAGGAGUACUUGGAGAAUGGUUGGAGAUCUUCAGGCUCACAUGUUGUUUUUCUUCAUGCUUAUUUCACAAUUCCAAAUGCAUUAAACAAGGAGGAAUUGGAUUCCUUAAAGGAAUAUCCCAAUAUAAUUCGUCUUACAUCAUUGUUUUGCCGCCUUGUUAAUGACCUUGGUACAUAUAAGCGUGAGAAAGAGACUGGAGAUGCUCCUUCUUCAAUUCAAUGCUACAUGAACAAAAGUGGAGCUUCAGAGGCAGAGGCAUGUGAACAUGUUAGAUCAAUUAUGAAUACACUCUGGAAGAACAUAAACAAAGAAACUCAUCAUUCUUUUCUCUCUCAAGAUUUUAUAGACACUAUUUUAGGCCUUACAAGAAUGGUAUUAACCAUGUAUGAUCAUGGAGAUUACCAUACUUUUCAAGAUUCUGAAGCCAAGAGUGGUAUAUUGUCGUUAAUCAUUCAACCAAUUCCUCUUACAUGUUAAUGUCUAUUGUCCAUGAACUACUAAAAUAUAGCAAAUUAUUUGGAAAUUUUAUCCGUGAAUUAUUUUCAUA